CCUACGGGAGGCAGCAGUAAGGAAUAUUGGACAAUGGACGCAAGUCUGAUCCAGCCAUGCCGCGUGAAGGAUUAAGGCCCUCUGGGUUGUAAACUUCUUUUAUAGGGGACGAAAAAGGGCUUUCUAGCUCGACUGACGGUACCCUAUGAAUAAGCACCGGCUAACUCCGUGCCAGCAGCCGCGGUAAUACGGAGGGUGCAAGCGUUAUCCGGAUUCACUGGGUUUAAAGGGUGCGUAGGCGGGCAUUUAAGUCAGUGGUGAAAUCUUCGAGCUCAACUCGGAAACUGCCAUUGAUACUAUUUGUCUUGAAUAUUGUGGAGGUGAGCGGAAUAUGUCAUGUAGCGGUGAAAUGCUUAGAUAUGACAUAGAACACCGAUUGCGAAGGCAGCUCGCUACACAAAUAUUGACGCUGAGGCACGAAAGCGUGGGGAUCAAACAGGAUUAGAUACCCUGGUAGUCCACGCCCUAAACUAUGGAUACUCGACAUUUGCGAUACACAGUAAGUGUCUGAGCGAAAGCAUUAAGUAUCCCACCUGGGAAGUACGACCGCAAGGUUGAAACUCAAAGGAAUUGACGCGNGAGAGAGACGAGACGACGACGAGGGAGAGG
RNAcentral lists this ribosomal RNA (609 nucleotides) under uncultured bacterium. RNAcentral describes it as "bacterial SSU rRNA". It matches the Rfam family "Bacterial small subunit ribosomal RNA", at positions 338 to 950 of the family's 1533-position model. The record is from RNAcentral.